Molecule: ribosomal RNA, 253 nt
Filed under: uncultured bacterium
Lineage: Bacteria
Description: partial 16S ribosomal RNA
Rfam family: Bacterial small subunit ribosomal RNA
Source: RNAcentral
UACGGGGGGGGCAAGCGUUGUUCGGAAUUACUGGGCGUAAAGGGCUCGUAGGUGGCCAACUAAGUCGGACGUGAAAUCCCUCAGCUUAACUGGGGAACUGCGUCCGAUACUGGAUGGCUCGAGUUUGGGAGAGGGAUGCGGAAGUCCAGGUGUAGCGGUGAAAUGCGUAGAUAUCUGGAGGAACACCGGUGGCGAAGGCGGCAUCCUGGACCAACACUGACACUGAGGAGCGAAAGCCAGGGGAGCAAACGGG